CCCCAACCUUUCCCUUAUAAAAAAUAAAACUUUCAAGAUUUUUUUUCUGUAAUAAUGCAUUUCCCAUACAAAAUUGACAAGAUAAUAAAUUAGUAUGCCUUUUAUUUCAAAUCUUUUGGGUUUGGAUUAUUACUUGAGUAAAAUCAAAUAAUUCCGUAUUUUUUUUUUCGGAACGGUUUUGACUUUUAUCGGAUGAAAGUGUACGUCAUGUUUGACGUCACUGCUGCAGCAGAAGUGCUGGAUAAUGGGUGUUGGAAAAAGUAAGUUAUCUCCUAACAUUUUUAUAAAGACAUUUAGGCUAAUUCAUAUUGUUUAAAUAUCCUUUCAUUACGGUUACAGGUUCGUAUGAACUUAUUUCUAUAAUACUCUCAUCACUUGUAAUGGUUAAAUUCAUGCAUUUCGCAAACCUACAUAAUGUUAGUGAUCUGUAAGUAAUUUUGGAUGAAUUUGUUUCUGAAUGGAUGUAAACAAUAUAAUUUACAUGAUAGGCUAAAGGCAUUACUUUGUUUUCUUUUUGUUUUGACUUUUGUUACGUACUGAUUUGAAAGUGAAAGUAGAAACCCUGUAUAGCAGUUGGCGUUGUUGUAUGUUGAGAUCGUUAUCAAGUCGAUUCUUUCAUCAACAUAAUGACAAAUGUUUGUUUUUAUGGCCUUAGAUGCAUUCAACAAUUUGAGUUCAGUGUCACAGUGCUGCUUUUUUAUCAAGUCCGAGAAGCCCAAAUCUGAUAAGACUGGCGAUUGAUCCUAACUGCCCAAAGCUGAUUCUGACAGACGAUUGCAUCAUCACAAUAUUAAAGGUUCAAUAUACAGUCAGCCUCUCAUAAGAAAAAAAUCCAAAGAUCCAAGGCUUGCUUCAAAGUUAAGAGACCAUUCUGUGCCACAAAGAAAUUGUUCAGGAAGGGGAGAACUGGUGGAUUUGCAUUUUUGGUACACUUCAAAGAGAUUUUCAAAAUGGUCAGAUCAGAGGGAGGACAACUGAAAAUAUUGAAAAGAUACAGAAGGAAAAAGAACCUGGAAAUCUAUGGAAUAAUUAUGAAAUGUGGAGGAUGUACACAAUCUUGUCUGAAUUUGACCUGUAAAGAUAUCUCAUUCUUAUUUGUAUGUUAGAAUAUCAAAUAACUUGAAAUGUACACUGUGAAAAAUAAGUUAUUUCUCUUGAUGAAAAUACUUUUAUCAAAAAAGUUGUGUAAGCAUUAUAAGAUAUUUUGAAAAUAUUUAACCAAUGAAGAUAGAUCAUUGUUGUAAUGUAAUGAAUUUUCAUCUAAAGCAGAAAUAUCUGAUUUUUAAAUGUGUACAAGAAUGUGAAAAAUAUUGAAAGAGAACACACUUAACUGUUUCAUAUGAUUUACAUAUGAUGCCCCUUUCAUAUGAUUCUCAUAUGUAAAUGGCUUGAAACACACUUAAGUGUUACAUAUGAUUUACAUAUGAUACCCUUUUCAUAUGAUUCUCAUAUGUAAAUGACUUGAAACACACUUAAAUCAUUCAUAUGCAAAUCAUAUGUAGUUAUUUUCAUAUGAUUCACAUAUGUGGAUCAUAUGUAAAUCAUAUGAUUUGCUUCAUAUGAUUCACAUAUGAUGCCCUUUUUCUAUGAUUCUCAUAUGAAACCAAUCAUAUGAGAAUCAUAUGAUACUCAUAUGAGAAUCAUAUGUGGCUAAGUUGCCUGUGUAUGUGUU
Molecule: long non-coding RNA, 1672 nt
Organism: Saccostrea cuccullata (small rock oyster)
Lineage: Eukaryota; Metazoa; Mollusca; Bivalvia; Ostreida; Ostreidae
Exons: 4
Source: RefSeq, a predicted model, not a curated record